AUUGAACGCUGGCGGCAUGCUUUACACAUGCAAGUCGAACGGUAACAGGCCUUCGGGUGCCGACGAGUGGCGCACGGGUGCGUAAUGCAUCGGAACGUACCCAGAGGUGGGGGAUAACGCAGCGAAAGCUGUGCUAAUACCGCAUGUGAUCUGAGGAUGAAAGCGGGGGACCGAGCAGCAAUGUUUGGCCUCGCGCCUUUGGAGCGGCCGAUGUCGGAUUAGCUAGUUGGUGGGGUAAAGGCCUACCAAGGCGACGAUCCGUAGCUGGUCUGAGAGGACGACCAGCCACACUGGGACUGAGACACGGCCCAGACUCCUACGGGAGGCAGCAGUGGGGAAUUUUGGACAAUGGGCGCAAGCCUGAUCCAGCAAUGCCGCGUGCGGGAAGAAGGCCUUCGGGUUGUAAACCGCUUUUGGCAGGAACGAAACGGUGUCCGCUAAUACCGGGCGCUAAUGACGGUACCUGCAGAAUAAGCACCGGCUAACUACGUG
This 492-nucleotide ribosomal RNA is filed under the name uncultured bacterium. RNAcentral's name for it is "partial 16S ribosomal RNA". It matches the Rfam family "Bacterial small subunit ribosomal RNA", at positions 29 to 507 of the family's 1533-position model. The record is from RNAcentral.